RNAcentral lists this long non-coding RNA (212 nucleotides) under Elaeis guineensis (African oil palm). Its description in RNAcentral is "long non-coding RNA (EGUI_LNC048066)". The record is from RNAcentral. Lineage: Eukaryota; Viridiplantae; Streptophyta; Magnoliopsida; Arecales; Arecaceae.
AGGUAUAGGUGGAUUGAACAUGAGAUAGAAGACUCGAAAGGAUAACAAAUGACAUUGCAGGUUGAAGUUUCUAUUACCGCAGGAGGCUAUCUCGAGUAGGUCUCAGAUUAGGUAGGUCAUAGUUUAUGACAGAUAUAGGAUCGAGCGGCCUGACUUGACUCCUCUGUUUGUCCAUCCAUGAACAAUCAGAUAUUUACCCUAGGGCAUGGAGG